CGGGACGGGUGAGUAAUGUCUGGGAAACUGCCUGAUGGAGGGGGAUAACUACUGGAAACGGUAGCUAAUACCGCAUAACGCCGCAAGACCAAAGAGGGGGACCUUCGGGCCUCUUGCCAUCGGAUGUGCCCAGAUGGGAUUAGCUAGUAGGUGGGGUAACGGCUCACCUAGGCGACGAUCCCUAGCUGGUCUGAGAGGAUGACCAGCCACACUGGAACUGAGACACGGUCCAG
RNAcentral lists this ribosomal RNA (233 nucleotides) under uncultured bacterium. RNAcentral describes it as "partial 16S ribosomal RNA". It matches the Rfam family "Bacterial small subunit ribosomal RNA", at positions 100 to 334 of the family's 1533-position model. The record is from RNAcentral.